GGAUUUUUAGUUCAGUUGGUAGAGAAACCGGCUUAUACCCGGUUAGUUCUUGGUUCGAGUUCAAACGAUUAUAUUGGCAAGGGAUUGACGCUUUUCAUAUACUCUUCCAUGCAAGACCAUCCU
RNAcentral lists this transfer RNA (123 nucleotides) under Caudoviricetes sp. Its description in RNAcentral is "tRNA-Ile". Lineage: Duplodnaviria; Heunggongvirae; Uroviricota; Caudoviricetes. The record is from RNAcentral.